Molecule: transfer RNA, 73 nt
Filed under: Nitrospinota bacterium
Lineage: Bacteria; Pseudomonadati; Nitrospinota
Description: tRNA-Ala
Rfam family: tRNA
About the family: Transfer RNA (tRNA) molecules are approximately 80 nucleotides in length. Their secondary structure includes four short double-helical elements and three loops (D, anti-codon, and T loops). Further hydrogen bonds mediate the characteristic L-shaped molecular structure. tRNAs have two regions of fundamental functional importance: the anti-codon, which is responsible for specific mRNA codon recognition, and the 3' end, to which the tRNAs corresponding amino acid is attached (by aminoacyl-tRNA synthetases). tRNAs cope with the degeneracy of the genetic code in two manners: having more than one tRNA (with a specific anti-codon) for a particular amino acid; and 'wobble' base-pairing, i.e. permitting non-standard base-pairing at the 3rd anti-codon position.
Source: RNAcentral
GGCCCCGUCGCCAAGUGGUUAAGGCGCGCCUCUGGCAAGAGCGUAUACACCGGUUCGAUUCCGGUCGGGGCCU